AUGACCAUAUCACAUUAAAACAUCAGUUCUCGUACGAUCACCGAAGUUAAGCAAAAGUUGAGCCUUUUCAGUACCUAAAUGGGUGACCGCUUGCGAAUACCAGGUGCUGUAA
This is a non-coding RNA of Acanthosepion pharaonis, 112 nucleotides long. Lineage: Eukaryota; Metazoa; Mollusca; Cephalopoda; Sepiida; Sepiidae. The record is from the annotation of a GenBank genome assembly.